Long non-coding RNA from Brienomyrus brachyistius, 542 nucleotides. RefSeq lists it as uncharacterized. The transcript is spliced from 3 exons. NCBI's taxonomy places the organism in Eukaryota, Metazoa, Chordata, Actinopteri, Osteoglossiformes, Mormyridae. The record is from RefSeq and is a predicted model, not a curated record.
UUUGAUUGAAUGAAAUUACUCAAGAUUCGCACUAACCAUAUAUAUAAUAUUCAUAACGUACACAAAAUCUUUGGAGAUUUUCUGAUACAUGUUGCAAUCAGAGAACUCUAUAUAUCUAAUGUGAACAGGUGUCAGACUGAGUUGUUGGGGGGUGGCAGGGGGAGUGAUACAUAUUUCAUGUACGCAGAGCAGAGACCUGAAUUGAGAGAUAUACCUGAACCCACGGCUGUGGAAGUGUCCGGCCACACCGGAAUUUACAGGAAUUUAUUAUCUUCCCUCCCUACUCAGGACGUGCACUCUGAGGCCUGACAUUCAGCUCCUUGUCGGGUGCAACACUGCGAUUUCCACACAAGUCCAUGCACUUCUCCGUACACCUCCCCGUAGAAGCACCGGAACUGACAGCCAGAGAGGGGGGUGCGGGUGUCUCAGAGACCCGCAUCGUUGUAUGUGACAGAAGACCCCUUCAGGAUGCUCUGCGCGUUCUCCUCCACUAGGGGGCGCCACUUGAUCUCCCCGGUCAGCAGCAAGUCCUCCCCGUCAAG